AGUGAACGCUGGCGGUAGGCCUAACACAUGCAAGUCGAACGGCAGCACAUUAAGAGCUUGCUCUUACGGGUGGCGAGUGGCGGACUGGUGAGUAAUACAUCGGAAUCUACUUUUUCGUGGGGGAUAACGUAGGGAAACUUACGCUAAUACCGCAUACGACCUACGGGUGAAAGCAGGGGAUCUUCGGACCUUGCGCGAUUGACUGAGCCGAUGUCGGAUUAGCUAGUUGGCGGGGUAAAGGCCCACCAAGGCGACGAUCCGUAGCUGGUCUGAGAGGAUGAUAAGCCACACGGGAAAUGAGACACGGUCCAGACGCCUACGGGAGGCACAAAUGGGGAAUGUUAGGCAAAGGGCGCAAGCCUGAUCCAGCCAGACCGCGUGGGUGAAGAAGGCCUUCGGGUUGUAAAGCCCUUUUGUUGGGAAAGAAAAGCAGCAGGUUAAUACCCCGCUGUUCUGACGGUACCCAAAGAAUAAGCACCGGCUAACUUCGUG
Molecule: ribosomal RNA, 492 nt
Filed under: uncultured bacterium
Lineage: Bacteria
Description: partial 16S ribosomal RNA
Rfam family: Bacterial small subunit ribosomal RNA
Source: RNAcentral